Molecule: long non-coding RNA, 444 nt
Organism: Canis lupus familiaris (dog)
Lineage: Eukaryota; Metazoa; Chordata; Mammalia; Carnivora; Canidae
Exons: 2
Source: RefSeq, a predicted model, not a curated record
GAGCCUCGUUCUCGCCUCGUAGAUCGUAGAUCGUAGAGGGUGUUAAGGCCCCGGCCUGUAGUGCUUUCAGACAACACAUAAAAUUAGUGUUCACGCUCAUGGCAUUUGGUCAACGGGGGCCAUGAAUGGCUGUUAGCACUAAUACCGAAAACCAGGGCUCCGUUCCCACCCUUGGGGUGAGGAAUUUGGGCUGAGGCUAGUUCCUGAGAAAGGGGAGUAUCAACACAAAACUCGACCCCAAGGCCUGAGAGGUAGACUGAGGCAGCGUGUCCAUAAUACAGCUGAAAGCACAGGGACCCAAGGAGGCCUAGUUCUUCCUAAUCACCCAGAAACUCCAAGGACAAAGAAAAGGGACGGGACGAAUGGAGACUGCCACACCAUUGGUUGUGUCCAUUUCAAUGCCCUUGUGUUCUUUGAACUAGAACCAGAGCUUCCUAGAAGGUU